GACGAACGCUGGCGGCGUGCCUAAUACAUGCAAGUGGGACGCAAGGGAACACACUGUGCUUGCACACCGUGUUUUCUUGAGUCGCGAACGGGUGAGUAACGCGUAGGUAACCUGCCUAUUAGCGGGGGAUAACUAUUGGAAACGAUAGCUAAUACCGCAUAAUAUUAAUUAUUGCAUGAUAAUUGAUUGAAAGAUGCAAGCGCAUCACUAGUAGAUGGACCUGCGUUGUAUUAGCUAGUUGGUAAGGUAAGAGCUUACCAAGGCGACGAUACAUAGCCGACCUGAGAGGGUGAUCGGCCACACUGGGACUGAGACACGGCCCAGACUCCUACGGGAGGCAGCAGUAGGGAAUCUUCGGCAAUGGACGAAAGUCUGACCGAGCAACGCCGCGUGAGUGAAGAAGGUUUUCGGAUCGUAAAGCUCUGUUGUAAGUCAAGAACGUGUGUGAGAGUGGAAAGUCACACAGUGGCGGUAGCUACCAGAA
This 484-nucleotide ribosomal RNA is filed under the name Streptococcus mutans. Its description in RNAcentral is "bacterial SSU rRNA". It matches the Rfam family "Bacterial small subunit ribosomal RNA", at positions 28 to 488 of the family's 1533-position model. Lineage: Bacteria; Bacillati; Bacillota; Bacilli; Lactobacillales; Streptococcaceae. The record is from RNAcentral.